AAUAGGUGUAGUUUUGCACUAUUCAUAUCCAACGUUUGACCGUUCAUCUUAUUUAAAAUAAUUUUAUGAUUAAUAUUUUUAUUGUUAUUAGAUAAUAAAACAUGAAUACUACUUUAUGUGUGACUAAUUUUUUUAAAUUUUUCAUAAUUUUUUUAAAUAAGAUGGGCGGUCAACCGUUGGAUAUGGAUACCCACGACUGUACUUAUU
Non-coding RNA from Oryza barthii, 207 nucleotides. The record is from Rfam. Lineage: Eukaryota; Viridiplantae; Streptophyta; Magnoliopsida; Poales; Poaceae.